Molecule: ribosomal RNA, 253 nt
Filed under: uncultured bacterium
Lineage: Bacteria
Description: partial 16S ribosomal RNA
Rfam family: Bacterial small subunit ribosomal RNA
Source: RNAcentral
UACAGAGGGUGCAAGCGUUGUUCGGAAUUAUUGGGCGUAAAGGGCGCGUAGGCGGCUUCGUAAGUCAGAUGUGAAAGCCCAGGGCUCAACCUUGGAAGUGCAUCUGAAACUGUGUGGCUAGAGUCUCGGAGAGGGUGGUGGAAUUCCCAGUGUAGAGGUGAAAUUCGUAGAUAUUGGGAGGAACACCGGUGGCGAAGGCGACCACCUGGACGAUGACUGACGCUGAGGCGCGAAAGCGUGGGUAGCAAACAGG